This 491-nucleotide ribosomal RNA is filed under the name uncultured bacterium. RNAcentral's name for it is "partial 16S ribosomal RNA". It matches the Rfam family "Bacterial small subunit ribosomal RNA", at positions 29 to 507 of the family's 1533-position model. The record is from RNAcentral.
AGUGAACGCUGGCGGUAGGCCUAACACAUGCAAGUCGAACGGCAGCACAGUAAGAGCUUGCUCUUACGGGUGGCGAGUGGCGGACGGGUGAGGAAUACAUCGGAAUCUACUUUUUCGUGGGGGAUAACGUAGGGAAACUUACGCUAAUACCGCAUACGACCUACGGGUGAAAGCAGGGGAUCUUCGGACCUUGCGCGAUUGAAUGAGCCGAUGUCGGAUUAGCUAGUUGGCGGGGUAAAGGCCCACCAAGGCGACGAUCCGUAGCUGGUCUGAGAGUAUGAUCAGCCACACUGGAACUGAGACACGGUCCAGACUCCUACGGAAGCCAGCGGUGGGAAAUAUUGGACAAUGGGCGAAAGCCUGACCCAGCCAUACCGCGUGGGUGAAGAAGGCCUUCGGGUUGUAAAGCCCUUUUGUUGGGAAAGAAAAGCAGCAGGUUAAUACCCCGCUGUUCUGACGGUACCCAAAGAAUAGCACCGGCUAACUUCGUG